This 373-nucleotide ribosomal RNA is filed under the name uncultured eukaryote. RNAcentral's name for it is "partial 18S ribosomal RNA". It matches the Rfam family "Eukaryotic small subunit ribosomal RNA", at positions 592 to 975 of the family's 1831-position model. The record is from RNAcentral.
UAAUAGUGUAUAUUAAAGUUGUUGCAGUUAAAAAGCUCGUAGUUGAAUGUUGGUGUCGAACGAGCGGUCAGCUUCGGCUGUACUGCUCUCUCGACUCCUUCCUUCUGUGGACUACGUCGCACUUUACUGUGUGGCGCUAGGACGCAGAUCGUUUACUGUGAAAAAAUUAGAGUGUUCAAAGCAGGCCGUACGCUUGAAUACAUUAGCAUGGAAUAAUGGAAUAGGACGUCGGGCCUAUUUUGUUGGCUCUAGGACCGUCGUAAUGAUUAAUAGGGACAGUUGGGGCCGUUUAUAUUCCGUAGUCAGAGGUGAAAUUCUUGGAUUUACGGAAGAUAAACUACUGCGAAAGCAUUCGGCAAGGAUGUUUUCGUUA